UACGUAGGGUGCAAGCGUUAAUCGGAAUUACUGGGCGUAAAGCGUGCGCAGGCGGUGAUGUAAGACAGAUGUGAAAUCCCUGGGCUCAACCCAGGAACUGCGUCCGAUACUGGUUGGCUUGAAUCCGGGAGAGGGAUGUGGAAUUCCAGGUGUAGCGGUGAAAUGCGUAGAUAUCUGGAGGAACACCGGUGGCGAAGGCGACAUCCUGGACCGGCAUUGACGCUGAGGCGCGAAAGCCAGGGGAGCAAACGGG
RNAcentral lists this ribosomal RNA (253 nucleotides) under uncultured bacterium. RNAcentral's name for it is "partial 16S ribosomal RNA". It matches the Rfam family "Bacterial small subunit ribosomal RNA", at positions 524 to 776 of the family's 1533-position model. The record is from RNAcentral.